UGGGGAAUAUUGCGCAAUGGGGGAAACCCUGACGCAGCAACGCCGCGUGGGCGAUGAAGUCUUUCGGGAUGUAAAGCCCUGUCAGAUGGGAAGAAGGGCACGGUGGUCAAUACCCACUGUGUUUGACGGUACCAUCAGAGGAAGCCCCGGCUAACUCCGUGCCAGCAGCCGCGGUAAUACGGAGGGGGCAAGCGUUGUUCGGAAUUAUUGGGCGUAAAGGGCGCGUAGGCGGUUUCGUAAGUCGGGUGUGAAAUCCCUUGGCUCAACCAAGUGAAUGGCAUUCGAAACUGCGGGACUUGAGUGCGGGAGAGGAGAGUGGAAUUCCCAGUGUAGCGGUGAAAUGCGUAGAUAUUGGGAAGAACACCGGUGGCGAAGGCGGCUCUCUGGACCGUUACUGACGCUGAGGCGCGAAAGCUAGGGGAGCAAACGGG
Molecule: ribosomal RNA, 431 nt
Filed under: uncultured bacterium
Lineage: Bacteria
Description: bacterial SSU rRNA
Rfam family: Bacterial small subunit ribosomal RNA
Source: RNAcentral